GAUGAACGCUAGCGGUGUGCUUAAUGCAUGCAAGUCGAACGGGAACCAUGAUUCGUCGUGGGGAGAGUGGCAAACGGGUGAGUAACACGUUGGUGACCUGCCCCAGAGAGGGGGAUAACCACUGGAAACGGUGGAUAAUACCCCAGAUGUUAAUGUGUUUAGAAAACAAUAACUGAAGCUUAGGCGCUCUGGGAGGGGCCAGCGGCCCAUCAGCUAGUUGGUAGGGUAACGGCCUACCAAGGCGAAGACGGGUAGGAGGCGUGAGAGCGUGACCUCCCACACUGGUACUGAGACACGGACCAGAUACCUGCGGGUAGCAGCAGCAAGGAAUAUUGCCCAAUGGACGGAAGUCUGAGGCAGCAACACCGCGUGGAGGACGACAGCCUUCGGGUUA
This 394-nucleotide ribosomal RNA is filed under the name uncultured bacterium. RNAcentral describes it as "bacterial SSU rRNA". It matches the Rfam family "Bacterial small subunit ribosomal RNA", at positions 28 to 425 of the family's 1533-position model. The record is from RNAcentral.